AGUGAACGCUGGCGGUAGGCCUAACACAUGCAAGUCGAACGGCAGCACAGUAAGAGCUUGCUCUUACGGGUGGCGAGUGGCGGACGGGUGAGGAGUACAUCGGAAUCUACUUUUUCGUGGGGGAUAACGUAGGGAAACUUACGCUAAUACCGCAUACGACCUACGGGUGAAGGCAGGGGAUCUUCGGACCUUGCGCGAUUGAAUGAGCCGAUGUCGGAUUAGCUAGUUGGCGGGGUAAAGGCCCACCAAGGCGACGAUCCGUAGCUGGUCUGAGAGGAUGAUCAGCCACACUGGAACUGAGACACGGUCCAGACUCCUACGGGAGGCAGCAGUGGGGAAUAUUGGACAAUGGGCGCAAGCCUGAUCCAGCCAUACCGCGUGGGUGAAGAAGGCCUUCGGGUUGUAAAGCCCUUUUGUUGGGAAAGAAAAGCAGCAGGUUAAUACCCCGCUGUUCUGACGGUACCCAAAGAAUAAGCACCGGCUAACUUCGUG
RNAcentral lists this ribosomal RNA (492 nucleotides) under uncultured bacterium. RNAcentral's name for it is "partial 16S ribosomal RNA". It matches the Rfam family "Bacterial small subunit ribosomal RNA", at positions 29 to 507 of the family's 1533-position model. The record is from RNAcentral.